Molecule: long non-coding RNA, 1219 nt
Organism: Phragmites australis (common reed)
Lineage: Eukaryota; Viridiplantae; Streptophyta; Magnoliopsida; Poales; Poaceae
Exons: 2
Source: RefSeq, a predicted model, not a curated record
UAAGGGCAACUCCAACAAAUUCCCAAAACGAGUCCCAAUAGCUAAAUUUUGGGUAUAUGAGCUCAAAAUCUCCUCCAGCAGAAGCCCAAAACCGCUCCCAAAAAACAGCGACGCCCAAAAAUCUCCUCCCAGCUCGCAAUAUCUAGCGAAUCCAAUCGGACUCCUAGUCUGCGGAUUCCUCGAUCCCGCGCUCGUCCCGCGCUUCGCGCGCCGCCCGCUGGUUCCCGCGCCGCCCGCAGCGGAGCACUCGUCGGUGGGGCGGCUGCUUCGCCCCCCCCCCCUCCCCCGCAGCCCAGCGAGCGGCGGUGCGUCACGAGGGCGUCGUUCGGCGGCCGGGUAAUCGCCGGCGAUGGGUACUCACCGCCGCAACCUCCACCGUCUGCUCGACCGCCUUCUCGUCCUCUCAUCGCUCCUACUCCUCGCGUCCGGUGAGGUCUUCUUCGAGGAGUGCUUCGAAGAUGGUUGGGAGACUCGGUGGGUGAAAUCUGAUUGGAAAAGGAGCGAAGGAAAAGCUGAUGAUUUGAUGAUGCUGAUCAUCCCUCGCACUUCUGUAUCAAUUGAUGAUGCUGAUGAUUUGAUCACAAACACGUCUUGCUUGCGCUGCGGCUUAAUUCCAGGAACUUGACUGAUCCCUGUGUUUUGUUUUUAUGGACACUAGGCAUACAAACAACAAUGGAUGCCAGACAUUUUGCUAUCUCAGCCAAGUUCCCAGAAUUCAGUAACAAGAAUCGAACACUGGUGGUCCAGUACUCCAUUAAGUUUGAGCAGGAUAUUGAAUGUGGUGGUGGCUAUAUUAAGCUGAUGUCAGGUUACGUCAACCAGAAAAAUUUAGUGGGGACACUCCAUACAGGUUAAGUUCUUACCGACUUUUGCCCUAUGGAAUUUCCCAUUCUUUCAGAAAUCCAUUGUCAUUAGUGGUAAGGACCUGUGUUCUAUGUUAGCUGUGCGCUUAGCUUGUUCAUAUUGUUAAUCACUGAUGAGUGUCACUACAUCUCACAUAAUUAGUCAUGUUGUAGAAGUCCAUAUAGAGAUCAUGGCUUGCAAAUGAAUAAUCCUACCAUUAAUGCAAAAUCUAGUGUCUGAAUAUGAAUUGCAUCCUCUAUCUUUAUGCACUAAUUCUUGUCUGCUGCUGAGAGUUGCCUGCUAACUUUCAUAAAUAGUUGUUAAAAAUAUCACAGUUUGAAUUGUAGCCGUUUAAAAAUAUAGCCGUUGGGAUAUA